RNAcentral lists this long non-coding RNA (1769 nucleotides) under Homo sapiens (human). RNAcentral describes it as "HSALNT0145454". The record is from RNAcentral. Lineage: Eukaryota; Metazoa; Chordata; Mammalia; Primates; Hominidae.
UGCCUUUUUUGGAGAAAACGCUGUCGCGUGCGUCGUCCAGAGGCUCUCCCCCAGGAGGCAGGCGAAAGAGCGGGGCCCUCCUGGGCUGGAGGAGUCUCGGGUGAUGAAAGGCCCGCGUGUUUCAGGCUGACGUCGUGAGAUGCGUCGUCCCCGCGUCGCGACAUCCCUGGGACCGGGAGGCCCCGUUCAAUUGGCAGCUUUUUCUCCUUCCAGGGAACCGAUGACCCUAGGUUGGCUGACAUCAGUCGCUAGACCCGCAGCCCGCAGGCCCCGUUAGUCCCUGAACUGGCUUUCAUGGCCCAAGGUGUCUGUCAGUACUGCUGGGAAAGCUGCCUGUCCUGGACAUUUGCCAUCUGCUGCACCCAGUCCCGAGACCCCAACUCGGUCAUCCGAAGAAGCCACAUCUCUGGACAGCCCAGGAUCACCAGACACCUGAGAAAGAAGAAAAGGGACUCAGAAGAAACAGAGACGAUAAAGGAAGCCGAAGAAAAAUGAAAACUAAAAUGCCAUUCUCAGUCAAUAAAAAGGAACUGGGGGCUAUAGAGAAAGAAACCUCGGGAUGAGAAAGAGCUCUUAGAAAUAAAACAUGAGGGGAAAGUGAGCAAUUCAAUAGGCUUUUAAGAUGAAGUCUUCCAGAAUGUAUAAUGACAGAACCAGAUAGCUGGAAAACAGAAUAGCAGUAACACAGGUGGGUGCUCUUAGGGCUAGCCUGGCACACAAGGCCUCCACAAUGGAGGGGGUGGAUGGGAGGUGGGGGGCUGGUCUGCCACCACCACCAGGGGAAGCCACAGGCACCACCCUCUGGGGACAGCUUCCCUUGGCAAUAAUGUGCACGCAGGAUGCAUGGUGCCCAGGACUGUUCUUACACACAUUCAUUCAUGGGAUCCUCACAACCCAGUGCUAUGCAAUGGAUACAGCUGUUACCCCAUUUUUACUGAUGGGCAACAUCACAAGGCAGGGAGCAGCAGUAGAAUGGCUCCAGAGCCUGUGUUCUUGCCACCACCAUGACUGCAUCUCAAAAGAGAAGUCCAGGUCAGGCACAGUGGCUCAUGCCUGCCUUCCCAGCACUUCAGGAGGCUGAGGCAGGAGUAUCACUUGGGCCCAGGGGUUCAAGACCAGCUUGGGCAAUAUAGUGAGGCCACGUCUCUACAAAAAGUAAUUUUAAAAAACCAGCUGGGCAUGGUGGCACACGCCUGUAGUCCUAGCUACUAGAGAGGCUAAGGUGGGAGGAUUGCUGGAGCCCAGAAGGUGGAGGUUGCAGUGCCCUGUGAUCACACCACUGCACUCCAGCCUGGGUGACAGAGCCAGACCCUGUCUCAAAAAAACAACAAAAACUCAACAGAAGUCCAACAUCUAAAUAAAUUGUCCAGAAAAUAAGGAAAUGAGAGAAAUCAGCAGAGAUAAAUCAAGAAAAUUUCCUAGAACCAAACAGUCAUGUUUUCUGAACAAUGGGUGAAAGGGAAGUUGUAUAUCAAGACACAUCAUUGAGAAUUACCCAAGUAAUGGGGCAAAGAAAAAGAAGAGAUCAUAGGUAAAGAGUCAGAAUUCAGGAAGGCACAAGAGUUCUUGGAACUAGAAGAAAAUGACACAAUACCCUUGAAAUCCUGGGAAUAAAUGAUUUUCAACCAAGCCAAGCUUUUUGUAGCUAGUCGCACUGUUAAGCAUAUGUGAGGUUAGCAUAAAGACUGUGGGGAAAAGCAAGAGAGAUCAGAUUGUUACUGUGUCUGUGUAGAAAGUAGUAGACAUAGGAGACUCCAUUUUGUUUUGUA